UGGGGAAUAUUGGACAAUGGGCGAAAGCCUGAUCCAGCCAUGCCGCGUGUGUGAAGAAGGUCUUCGGAUUGUAAAGCACUUUAAGUUGGGAGGAAGGGCAGUAAGCGAAUACCUUGCUGUUUUGACGUUACCGACAGAAUAAGCACCGGCUAACUCUGUGCCAGCAGCCGCGGUAAUACAGAGGGUGCAAGCGUUAAUCGGAAUUACUGGGCGUAACGCGCGCGUAGGUGGUUCGUUAAGUUGAAUGUGAAAGCCCCGGGCUCAACCUGGGAACUGCAUCCAAAACUGGCGAGCUGGAGUAGGGCAGAGGGUGGUGGAAUUUCCUGUGUAGCGGUGAAAUGCGUAGAUAUAGGAAGGAACACCAGUGGCGAAGGCGACCACCUGGGCUCAUACUGACACUGAGGUGCGAAAGCGUGGGGAGCAAACAGG
This 429-nucleotide ribosomal RNA is filed under the name Pseudomonadota bacterium. RNAcentral's name for it is "Proteobacteria bacterium partial 16S ribosomal RNA". It matches the Rfam family "Bacterial small subunit ribosomal RNA", at positions 355 to 776 of the family's 1533-position model. Lineage: Bacteria; Pseudomonadati; Pseudomonadota. The record is from RNAcentral.